This 603-nucleotide long non-coding RNA is filed under the name Pan troglodytes (chimpanzee). RNAcentral describes it as "long non-coding RNA NONPTRT015770". Lineage: Eukaryota; Metazoa; Chordata; Mammalia; Primates; Hominidae. The record is from RNAcentral.
GGAAAGGGGACUGGGUUUGAGUCUUGAGUCCUUUCCAGCAAGCGCCUUCCCGCUUGGAGCCUUGUUUCCUUCCUGGAUAAAUGGGCGGGGAAGCAUCGCGGAGGUGUGCGGGUUUAAUCGGCACAUGCGCUGCUGCCUGCAGGCCAAGCUCAGGAUAAGCUCUUGCAGUAAAUAGCAACGUUUAUGUCCCUCGACUCCUGGCUCAGAGACGCGACCCAGAAUCUGGCAACCAUACCCGCCCCUUAGCUGGCCCCCCUCCACUGAUGACUAAUGGCCAGGUGUAAGACAGUCUUCCGAAGGGGCCGUAAGACCACCAUGGGCUCAAGAUAGACAUUGAGUCCUGCCCUUGCCCACCUCCUCCUCUCUCCACCUCCACAUCUUGGUUUCUUGUCCUCUGUGUGCAAAAUGUGCUUUCCUGCCCCACCUACGUCUCCACAUAUGAAGAAUCAAUAACAAUUUUAGAGAGAAAAUACAGUUGUCAUGGAAAAAAAAUGGAGUGAAUUCAGAGUUCAUUAGGCAAGUUAAUCAAAUUGUCCAGCCGUGUCUUGCUGUUUCUGGGAACCAUCUGGCCCGCCUGAUCGAUGUGAUUCCAGGUGGGAAGUG